AAUCUUCCACAAUGGGCGAAAGCCUGAUGGAGCAAUGCCGCGUGAAUGAAGAAGGUCUUCGGGUCGUAAAGUUCUGUUAUUAGAGAAGAACAAGUCAAGGAGUAACUGUCUUGACUUUGACGGUACCUAACCAGAAAGUCACGGCUAACUACGUGCCAGCAGCCGCGGUAAUACGUAGGUUACGAGCGUUGUCCGGAAUUAUUGGGCGGAAAAGGGGGCGAGGGGGUUUGGAAAAUCUGAUGUGAAAAGCCACGGCUUAAACGUGGAAGGUCAUUGGAAAAUGUCCAACUUGAAUGCAGAAGAGGAAAGUGGAAUUCCAUGUGUAGCGGUGAAAUGCGUAGAUAUAUGGAGGAACACCAGUGGCGAAGGCGACUUUCUGGUCUGUAAUUGACGCUGAGGCUCGAAAGCGUGGGUAGCGAACA
Molecule: ribosomal RNA, 422 nt
Filed under: uncultured bacterium
Lineage: Bacteria
Description: partial 16S ribosomal RNA
Rfam family: Bacterial small subunit ribosomal RNA
Source: RNAcentral